This is a long non-coding RNA of Engraulis encrasicolus (European anchovy), 1326 nucleotides long. RefSeq lists it as uncharacterized. Lineage: Eukaryota; Metazoa; Chordata; Actinopteri; Clupeiformes; Engraulidae. The transcript is spliced from 5 exons. The record is from RefSeq and is a predicted model, not a curated record.
CAUGUCUUGUAUAGGCCUAUUAAUAUGCAAACCUAGGCCUAUAGCCUACCUGAAGUUAUAACAUCUAGAUCAAUAUGAUUUGACAAAAUAAAGUGCUUCAAUGCACGUUUUAUUUCCUUUUGCACAACUGCAACAGCAAGGGCAACAGGUUUUUUUGUGUUCAUUUAAGGCACACUCAAAAAAUGUUUCUGGGUCCUGGUAAAUAUUAAGAAAUAUGUAUACAAACAAUUUAAGGAAUAUUGAAAUCAUAUAAACACCAUUUGAACUGUCCGCGUAUUAACUUUUAAACAAAUAAUCUAAACAAAUAAUGUAGGCCUAUGCACUUGAAAAAAGCUCAUAAUAUUAACUGACAUGCACAUCACACUCCAGAACAGUAGGUGGCAGUAAGAAAUGAAUCGCCUAUUGUCGAAACACAUUUUCAUUGACAGUAUUUAUCUUCUUCCUGCUGGCACCAAGUUGUUACCUUAUUGGUACAGAAAUAUUUUACAUAAAUCAAAACUAUAUAUGUGAAAUUCAUGCUGUAAUUCAGGUGGGAUAACAAACAAAAACAAAAAAAAAUCACCAAAGGGUAAAACCGGAAAUGGAAUUACGUCACUUCCUGUUCGUCAGUUGGUCUCCUGCUUUGAAAUUGAGGCAAUCGUUUUCAGCCGGAUGGUUACCCCCUGUGCUAGUGGAAGAUGUGACUUUGAAGACAGUCAUUGUAAAAGGUGCAAAAGGCUUGUCUAAGAUAAGCUGGCAGUCUACACCGCAUGGCCUGCGUUGCUGACAUUAAGUGAAGUUAAUGCAGAGUUCCUGUGCCUGACAGAUACUUGAGGAAGCAUCUUGGAGGUUGUCAAGGAGAAGGGAGGCGUUGCCAGAAGGAAGGACUGGAGUGGCGAAGUGAUCCAAAGGCAGACUGCACAUCUACGUAUAUGGUUUGCAAGGAACAUCCCGUGCCAGAGACUGUGAUACAAGGCAUGGAGCUGUACAGUGAACUCGGAGCAUCUCUUGUGCAUGUGUGAUGCUGUUUGGACUCGGUUACCGGUAUAUACCCUCAAUCUCAACUCUGUGGAUUUGGAUUUACAAUUUUAAGUAUCCAGAUGAACUGAAAUAUAUGUUCUGGUGAAUUUGGAAAAUAUGCCCAAAAGGUCCAAUCACUAUAAACUACAGUAAAUAUGUUGGACACUGGCAAUCUCAGGUUCUAAGCCAUUGUAUAAAAGGACAAUCCAUCGCAUUUCUAUUAAUACUUUUGUGUGCUGUUCUCUGAUCUGAGUUGAUGAUUUUUUUUGUCCUUUUUUGUCUUUUGUCAGCAUGGCAUUGAGUAUCAUUGAGGGGCUUUUUUCUAAA